RNAcentral lists this ribosomal RNA (252 nucleotides) under uncultured microorganism. RNAcentral's name for it is "partial 16S ribosomal RNA". It matches the Rfam family "Bacterial small subunit ribosomal RNA", at positions 524 to 776 of the family's 1533-position model. The record is from RNAcentral.
UACGUAGGUCCCGAGCGUUGUCCGGAUUUAUUGGGCGUAAAGCGAGCGCAGGUGGUUUAAUAAGUCUGAUGUAAAAGGCAGUGGCUCAACCAUUGUGUGCAUUGGAAACUGUUAGACUUGAGUGCAGUAGAGGAGAGUGGAAUUCCAUGUGUAGCGGUGAAAUGCGUAGAUAUAGGAAGGAACACCGGUGGCGAAAGCGGCUCUCUGGACUGUAACUGACACUGAGGCUCGAAAGCGUGGGUAGCAAACAGG